RNAcentral lists this ribosomal RNA (427 nucleotides) under uncultured Chromatiaceae bacterium. RNAcentral describes it as "partial 16S ribosomal RNA". It matches the Rfam family "Bacterial small subunit ribosomal RNA", at positions 355 to 774 of the family's 1533-position model. Lineage: Bacteria; Pseudomonadati; Pseudomonadota; Gammaproteobacteria; Chromatiales; Chromatiaceae. The record is from RNAcentral.
UGGGGAAUAUUGGACAAUGGGCGCAAGCCUGAUCCAGCAAUGCCGCGUGUGUGAAGAAGGCCUGCGGGUUGUAAAGCACUUUCAGUGGGGAAGAAACGUCUCAGGUUAAUACCCUGGGAGUUUGACGUUACCCACAGAAGAAGCACCGGCUAACUCCGUGCCAGCAGCCGCGGUAAUACGGAGGGUGCAAGCGUUAAUCGGAAUCACUGGGCGUAAAGCGCACGUAGGCGGCGCGACCAGUCAGAUGUGAAAGCCCCGGGCUCAACCUGGGAAUGGCAUUUGAUACGAUCGUGCUCGAGUCUGAGAGAGGGGGGUGGAAUUCCAGGUGUAGCGGUGAAAUGCGUAGAUAUCUGGAGGAACAUCAGUGGCGAAGGCGGCCCCCUGGUUCAAGACUGACGCUGAGGUGCGAAAGCGUGGGGAGCAAACA